UACAGAGGGUGCGAGCGUUGUCCGGAAUCACUGGGCGUAAAGGGCGCGUAGGCGGCUGGGUAAGCGUGUGGUGAAAGUCCGGGGCUCAACCCCGGAUCGGCCAUGCGAACUGUCCAGCUGGAGCACGGUAGAGGCACAUGGAAUUCCGGGUGUAGCGGUGGAAUGCGUAGAGAUCCGGAAGAACACCGGUGGCGAAGGCGGUGUGCUGGGCCGUAGCUGACGCUGAGGCGCGACAGCGUGGGGAGCAAACAGG
This 253-nucleotide ribosomal RNA is filed under the name uncultured bacterium. RNAcentral's name for it is "partial 16S ribosomal RNA". It matches the Rfam family "Bacterial small subunit ribosomal RNA", at positions 524 to 776 of the family's 1533-position model. The record is from RNAcentral.